Molecule: ribosomal RNA, 331 nt
Filed under: uncultured Actinomycetes bacterium
Lineage: Bacteria; Bacillati; Actinomycetota; Actinomycetes
Description: bacterial SSU rRNA
Rfam family: Bacterial small subunit ribosomal RNA
Source: RNAcentral
GACGAACGCUGGCGGCGUGCUUAACACAUGCAAGUCGAACGAGAAAGGCUCUUCGGAGCUGAGUACAGUGGCGAACGGGUGAGUAACACGUGGGCAACCUGCCCUAGGGAGCGGGACAACCCGAGGAAACUCGGGCUAAUACCGCAUAAUUCGUACGGUCAUAAGUCCGUACGGGAAAUGGUAGCUUCGGCCUCCGCCCUGGGAUGGGCCCGCGGCGCAUUAGCUUGUUGGUGUGGGUAACGGCCCACCAAGGCGACGAUGCGUAGCUGGUCUGAGAGGACGAUCAGCCACACUGGGACUGAGACACGGCCCAGACUCCUACGGGAGGCUG